This 550-nucleotide ribosomal RNA is filed under the name uncultured bacterium. Its description in RNAcentral is "bacterial SSU rRNA". It matches the Rfam family "Bacterial small subunit ribosomal RNA", at positions 355 to 896 of the family's 1533-position model. The record is from RNAcentral.
UGGGGAAUCUUCCGCAAUGGACGAAAGUCUGACGGAGCAACGCCGCGUGAGUGAUGACGGCCUUCGGGUUGUAAAGCUCUGUUAAUCGGGACGAAAGGCCUUCUUGCGAAUAGUGAGAAGGAUUGACGGUACCGGAAUAGAAAGCCACGGCUAACUACGUGCCAGCAGCCGCGGUAAUACGUAGGUGGCAAGCGUUGCCCGGAAUUAUUGGGCGUAAAGCGCGCGCAGGCGGAUCAGUCAGUCUGUCUUAAAAGUUCGGGGCUUAACCCCGUGAUGGGAUGGAAACUGCUGAUCUAGAGUAUCGGAGAGGAAAGUGGAAUUCCUAGUGUAGCGGUGAAAUGCGUAGAUAUUAGGAAGAACACCAGUGGCGAAGGCGACUUUCUGGACGAAAACUGACGCUGAGGCGCGAAAGCCAGGGGAGCGAACGGGAUUAGAUACCCCGGUAGUCCUGGCCGUAAACGAUGGGUACUAGGUGUAGGAGGUAUCGACCCCUUCUGUGCCGGAGUUAACGCAAUAAGUACCCCGCCUGGGGAGUACGACCGCAAGGUUG